UACGAAGGGGGCUAGCGUUGUUCGGAAUUACUGGGCGUAAAGGGUUCGUAGGUGGCCUGCUAAGUCAGACGUGAAAUCCCUCAGCUUAACUGGGGAACUGCGUCUGAUACUGGUGGGCUUGAGUGCAGGAGAGGAACGCGGAAUUCCAGGUGUAGCGGUGAAAUGCGUAGAUAUCUGGAGGAACACCGGUGGCGAAGGCGGCGUUCUGGACUGCAACUGACACUGAGGAACGAAAGCCAGGGGAGCAAACGGG
This 253-nucleotide ribosomal RNA is filed under the name uncultured bacterium. Its description in RNAcentral is "partial 16S ribosomal RNA". It matches the Rfam family "Bacterial small subunit ribosomal RNA", at positions 524 to 776 of the family's 1533-position model. The record is from RNAcentral.